GCCUGGGUAGCUCAGUGGUUGAGCAUCUACCUAUGAACCAGGAGGUCACGGUUUGAUUCCUGGUCAGGGCA
Molecule: transfer RNA, 71 nt
Filed under: Myotis brandtii (Brandt's bat)
Lineage: Eukaryota; Metazoa; Chordata; Mammalia; Chiroptera; Vespertilionidae
Rfam family: tRNA
About the family: Transfer RNA (tRNA) molecules are approximately 80 nucleotides in length.
Source: Rfam by way of RNAcentral